GUGUGCAUUGCAGUGGAGGGCUACUUACAAGAGUCUGAAGGGCCCACUGGGCAGUGGCUGGAUUUCCCAUCCUUCACUCUCUCCUCUUUGCUCCCCUUACCUCUAUCGCUACAAGACCCACAGACCCCUCUGGAUGCCUGUAGAUACGGGGUUUCCUGCCUGCACUGGUUUCUGGAGAUCUGACUUCAGGCUCACAGCAUCAAACCCGGACCUUACAUCUGGCAGAGUCAGCGGGAUCCUGAAGACAUGAGCUGGAGCCCCGAAGAGCUGGGAACAGAGCAGAUGGAGUGUUUUUACUAUGCUAAAAGCUGGCCUCGAAGAUGCUUUGUAGGGAGAAGCCAAAGAAUGAGAGCUGGGAGCCAAGAUAAAACCUCAGUAUGUGAUUUAGAGCAUUAAGUCCCUUUUAUCAAAGGGAAGGGAAUGUAGACAGAGCCCUGGGGAGCCGGUCCCUGCCAGGUUGCUGAACCUCUGGGAUGAGGGGGAAGAAUGUCUCAUUAACCGUGGAACAGAUGGAGAAAUUGACCUCUAUCAUCACCCAUCUCUCUUUAAGGAAGUGCCUACAGGUCCCAAGGCCACAAAACUGAGGAGAACAGUUGCUAACGAGCUGGCUAAUAGCCAGAGCAUGUCUGGUAUGGACCAAUGCUGGCAAAUUGCCAGAGACUAUGAGUAAAUAAACCACCUACUUGUGCUUAA
Molecule: long non-coding RNA, 693 nt
Organism: Grammomys surdaster
Lineage: Eukaryota; Metazoa; Chordata; Mammalia; Rodentia; Muridae
Exons: 2
Source: RefSeq, a predicted model, not a curated record